This 189-nucleotide ribosomal RNA is filed under the name Euphlyctis cyanophlyctis (skittering frog). Its description in RNAcentral is "partial 12S ribosomal RNA". The record is from RNAcentral. Lineage: Eukaryota; Metazoa; Chordata; Amphibia; Anura; Dicroglossidae.
UCCUAUUUAUCGUCACCACAACAGUCCAAUCCCACCACGGCUCUACCAACUUUUGCUAAAACAGCUGGAACUGAAAGGACCUGGCGGUGCUUCGGUCCCUCUCUAUGAGCCUGUUCUGCCAUCGAAAAACCCCCAUCUUUGCCACCACCUCUUGUUUACCCUAUUUACGGCCAUCUACAGCAAACAGGA